Molecule: ribosomal RNA, 516 nt
Filed under: Craterellus cornucopioides
Lineage: Eukaryota; Fungi; Basidiomycota; Agaricomycetes; Cantharellales; Hydnaceae
Description: LSU rRNA
Rfam family: Eukaryotic large subunit ribosomal RNA
Source: RNAcentral
CUGGCAGUGAUUCACUGUCCGAGUUGUAAAUUGAAGAGAAUGUCAUCCACGCUGGACCACGUCUAAAUUGUAAUGAUCCACAGUCCUUUGAUGGAGUAUCAGAGAGGGUAAUAAUCCCGUCUUUAACGUGGACUGCCAGUGUUUCUGUGAUGCACUCUCUCAGAGUCGAGUAGUUUGGGAAUGCUGCUCUAAUGGGAGGUAAACUCCUUCUAAAGCUAAAUAUUGGCGAGAGACCGAUAGCGAACAAGUACCGUGAGGGAAAGAUGAAAAGAACUCUGAAAAGAGAGUCAAAUAGAACGUGAAAUUGCUGAAAGGGAAGCGUUUGGAGUCAGACGCGUCUUCAUGCAAUACAGCUCAGUGGCAGAGACUUUGAGACAAGUUACUUGAAGACGGGCCAGCACUCACGAAGACCAUUGAAGAAGGGGUCAUGGAAUGUAGCUCAGUGCUGAGUGAUUAUAGCCUUGAUUCAAAAGCAAUGUGUCCUUUGUGAGAGAUGGACAGCACGACAACAGUUCA